RNAcentral lists this ribosomal RNA (393 nucleotides) under uncultured bacterium. Its description in RNAcentral is "partial 16S ribosomal RNA". It matches the Rfam family "Bacterial small subunit ribosomal RNA", at positions 523 to 918 of the family's 1533-position model. The record is from RNAcentral.
AUACGGAGGAUCCGAGCGUUAUCCGGAUUUAUUGGGUUUAAAGGGAGCGUAGGUGGACAGUUAAGUCAGUUGUGAAAGUUUGCGGCUCAACCGUAAAAUUGCAGUUGAUACUGGCUGUCUUGAGUACAGUAGAGGUGGGCGGAAUUCGUGGGGUAGCGGUGGAAUGCUUAGAUAUCACGAAGAACUCCGAUUGCGAAGGCAGCUCACUGGACUGCAACUGACACUGAUGCUCGAAAGUGUGGGUAUCAAACAGGAUUAGAUACCCUGGUAGUCCACACAGUAAACGAUGAAUACUCGCUGUUUGCGAUAUACAGUAAGCGGCCAAGCGAAAGCACUAAGUAUUCCACCUGGGGAGUACGCCGGCAACGGUGAAACUCAAAUGAAUUGACGGGG